Molecule: long non-coding RNA, 310 nt
Organism: Myotis daubentonii (Daubenton's bat)
Lineage: Eukaryota; Metazoa; Chordata; Mammalia; Chiroptera; Vespertilionidae
Exons: 2
Source: RefSeq, a predicted model, not a curated record
AAAAAAAAAAUUGUUUUCUUCUGGGGAAGUAAGGAGCCUACUUAUUUAUUGAAGGGAGUCAGAACCGAUGAUCCUACUUUUCUAUUAAAAGUCCCAAGCGGCCGAGAUCGGUUUGGCUCAUGGAUAGAGCAUUGGCCUGCGACCUGAAGGGUCCCUGGUUCUAUUCCAGUCAAGGGCACAUGCUGGGGUUACGGACUUGAUCCCCAGCAGGGGGUGUGCAGGAGGCAGCCAAUCAAUGAUUCUCUCUUAUCAAUCAUGUUUCUCUCUCUCCCUCCCUCUCCCUUUCUCUCAGAAAUCAAUAAAAAUAUAU